CCUCUUCCCCCUCCUCCCCCCUCUUCCCCCACUCUCCCUUCUCCCACCUUGCCCACCCCUCCCCAGCUCUGCCCUCCUCCCCAGACGCUCCAGCCCGGGACACAGUGGAGCUGUAGCAAGCCCCGCCGGCAGGCGGCCCUUCUGGCCCCUGCUCCUUAAUGGGUGGCCACUGUCCUGAGCAAGACCUUGUCUCCUUGGCUGCCUACCCCCAGCUCCACCCUCCCUGUCUGAGUCCAGGCACCUCCAGGGACAGUUACUACCUGCUAUAGGAGCGGUUGUAUACCUUCAUACUGGGUACCUCUCAAGGUCCUUGACCCACAGGGACUCACAGCUGAGGCCAGGCCUGCAAAGAAUUCAGGAAGGCCUGAAGCAGUCCUGCUUCUCCUCUCCUUUGAAGGAGUGUUUGGCUGCCACGUUCUCCAGGCCCUCAGUGGCAGGAAGAUGCCAUCAUGGGAGUCUUCAUGUUUAGGACUUUAAACACUGGACUGCUUCAGCACCAGCAGAAGACAAGGAUUCCCCCAGGCAGGGCGUGCUGUCUAUCAGCCCAGGACUUAUUGGAGAUUAUCUGGUCCAGCCUGGCUGACGCUGGCCAGGAGCAUCUUUGAUUGCUGUUCAAGGCCUUCAGCUCCUCUCUGGAUCAGAGUCUGUGCACAGUCAGCAGUUCUGUUUCAGGCAGAGGGGCCAGUAGCUGGCCACCUCCACAGGGGCUGUCCAGAGCCCUGGCACCAAGCACCCUAGGCACUUCUUGCCUGGCCAUCCCUUCUGAAGAUUCCAAUGAUGGAAGAACCCAGAAGCGCAGGUGCUGCGUGAUGCUGACCUUGGCCUUGGCCUCCCCAACCCCAGUAGAAUACACAGCUGACGUCCUCUUGGAAGUUUCGUGCACCAAGGACUUCCCACUCAUGACAGCUCCCACUCCUGGGUUCCUGGAGCUCCUUCCCAUUGUCUGUGUCCUCACAGGCACCUGGAUGGCUGCCCAGGAUGAGCUGCAGUGUCGGAGCUACUUUGGGUUGAGUUCUCAGGAUACCCAAGUCCCAUGAGGACUCACGGCUGCUUGGUGAAUGUGAAAGCCUUCAGCGCCCUCAGUGCUUGUCCCACCUGUGCCUGUGAGUGAGGUCUGCUGCAAGGACUUGUACACAACUGGAAUGCAGGCACGGCAGCAACGGGGAACACCCAAUAUGCCAUCCUUUAAAGAGCAUCGCAGGUUCUGAGUGAUGUCCUGAAGGGACAGGAGCCUCAGAAAGCCUGGAGAGGAGAGGGAGUGCCUGGGAACAGUGGGCUUCUCAGCAGUCAGGUCUGUCUGAGUCACAGAGUUUGCCACCCUGUGUUCCUCGUGGCCCCCAGUGUGUACAGGUGAGGACCCUGCCUCAGCUCAGCACCCAAUAGGCCCCCUUGUCCAGAGGCAACCAGAUCGCUUCAGACUGACAACAUACAGCAGGGGGAAGACCCCAUCCCUUGAGAGCCACCAUACCCCACAAGGAUGCGCAGCAGUCAUUACCUGUGUCAGGUAAUGACUGAGUGUUUGCCAGGGCUAGGCACCAAAGUCAGCAUCAAAACUAGAUUAACCCACGGUCUCAACAACCCAUUUUACACAGCAAGAAGGAACUUGGAGCAGCAGCAAGUAUGAUCAGACCCUCCUUUCUGAUCCCCACCUCUCCUGGUCCCUACUGCCGAACCCACCCCAGGCCCAGUUCUGUCACAUCCUUUCUAAGCUCAGAAGCCACAUGUGGGUUGAACUGUGAUGGGUACUGCACUCCAACAGGGCCUGGCUGUGUCCUGUGCAUGGAUCUCACCAGAAGCACACACCUGAGUCCUGUGACUGUGGCUGUGGAUUUUAACUGCCUAUCAAGCACCAUCGAGGUUGAUGGAAUUCAUUCUUCUCUGUACAGAGCUCUGGGGCACAUACUGUUCUUUUCAGAGGGAUUUGGGUAGUGAGUCCAUGGGGACAGAGAAUGGGGUGGGAGGUGGGAGCCAGAUCCAAGUUCAGGGUACGAUUGAGGGGAAGAGAAGUGGAACCCCUGUCUGUGGCCUCUCCUUAAAGGCUCCAUGGUCCAAAAAGGAAGCCACAGUGCAGGGUUAUUGGGGUGGGGCUUCCUGAUCCCCCAGAAUGUGGCCAUACAGAGGGUUCUCCUGCUCUACUCAGGGGACACAUGCUAGAUUUGCCCCUGCCGGCACCCAGAGAGAGCCCACCUGGAGCUCCUGGCAGGAGUGAGGCUGGGUGGAGGUUGGCAAGGUCCCCAGCCCCCUCAGACAUCAGGAAUUCAACCUCAUGCCUGCUCCUAGCCCACAAGAGCAGGAGACUGGGCCCGCAGAGCAACUUUACAGGGUGAGAGCCUCCAGGACAGGCAGUGACAUAACUUCUGCCAGCAGAGAGCAGCAGAGGGCCAUGCAGCACCCCUGGCUUGCUCCCUGCCCCUUGGGGCCUGAUCCUAACUCCAGGACAAGCUGAUGCAAGGGGAGGUCAGGUUUCACCCCUCCCAUUGCCCCACUCCAGGUCCCCUGCUGGCCUAAGGGUCACCUCCCCUUCAGGCUCUGUCCCCAGGGCAGGGCUCUCAGAACCAUAAACCCCAUCCCGCCAACCUGGCCCCUAGGUCCAUGACACACAUGGGUCGCUCUUCUCUUGACACUUUCCUGGUUCAGCUUGAAGUUCACCAUAGGGUCCUCUCAUGUAUCCCUGUUCCCCACAAGAUGGGAUGAGGCUCCAGAAUGUUCCAAGUGGCACUAAUGAUGAAUACAUCCUGUGGGCCAUAAAGCACAUUUCUGCCACUGCUGUACCAUACAUCCUGAAGGAAGAAAACACCUUCUAGGCAAAGGAGAAAACUGCUGAGCAGGUGGGUGGUGUGGUCACCGAUGGCAUUUGUGGACCCCCAGGGUGUGGGCCCUCUAAGUGAGAUCCCCUCCAUAGGUGGGGAAUAAAUUUAUAGAGUGAGAACCUCCAGAACAGGGUUUAAGCAUCCUUAGGAACUGACAUCUGGUUGAAGCCUCAGCAGUAGUGGUGACACGCUAGGCCCACAGGAGGCUUCCUCAAGUCCAGCAUCACGAGGGUUGGAGAGCUGAUGGCCCAUCCCUUUGCAUCCCUGCUUUCCAGAGCUCUUUCCCACCAGCCCAGGCUCAGCUUUGCCAGCUUCCUCAACCCUCAAAUAGUGUUCUGGAUUUGCCCUCAGUUCCCCCAGUCCUCCUCCCACUGUUGGCCAUGGCCUCAGUAUUAGGGCCUUGCCUUCACUAUCACCUUCUUUAUCUGGUUAAGGCAUCCAGUGUCUUGGCUAAAAUUGGAACUUACCCUAUAAAUAGUGAGGCGCAUGGUUUUCUUUUAGCUUAGCUACUCCCAAGGCCCCUGACCCCUACCCUGUGGCCGGUUCCUACUGUCAGCCUCCCCCACCUGACCUGUCUUAAACUAGCCCUUCCACAAAACCACUGACCCUAAGGACACCCCCAAUUCUCCUUCACUCACCUCUACUUUCUUCUCACUUGGUUACCAGAGUCAGUUAGGAGCAUCCUGAAAAACAUCCAAUACCUCUUGUUAUACUUGGAGUCAUCCCCAGGUGCCCACUCUUCUUAGCCCCUUCCCCAAUCACAAGUUGCACUCCACCUGUGGGCUAUAUCCUGGUUGGGCCUGGCUCUCCCUUAUUGGGAGGCCUGGUCCUGGCUGGCUCAACUCAUCAGCACAGACUUGUCCCUGCCACAUUGGCCCAGAACAGGCAGAGCCUGGGUCAACCAGGUGGCUGUGAGCCACAUGGCAGAGGAGAGCCCAGCCAGGGUGGCUUGGCUGCUAGAGAGCUGAGGUUUGAGGCAUGGACUGAGCACUGCCUGUAAGGCAAGGUGGUCCACAGGGAAACACAGCCAAGGGAACCUCAGGAGCAGAACUGAGUCCUGAUCAAGCAGCAGCUGAAAGACCUCCUGCCACACAUCCCCUUUGUGUGAAUUCAGGAUGCCUCUUGACUGCCCCACCCAGUUUGUAGAUGAUUUUCUGGAGCUAAGUCACCCAGGAAGAAGAGUUCCGGGGAUACCAAAGCCUCAACUGAAGGUCUGGGAUUCCGUCAGAGGUUCCCCUGUGUCCUGCCCCCCUUAUCCACACUUAUUGGUCAGUGGCAGCCCAGACAGCAGCAGGCAGGGAAGCACAGGGCUGGGACAAGUUGCAACACUGGUCCCCUCUCUCAUCUGGGGCCUGAGGGUUGUUAUGACAACUCAGGGUCAUGUCAGGAGGGUUCCAUCUGUUUUAAUAGGAAAUUUGGUGAUUUCUUUCUCCUUUCCCUUGCCAAUUAGAAGUGUAGAGGCCUGGGAGAGGGUAUAGCCAGCAGGACAGAAGGCGAAUAUCCCCUCUCCUGAGAAGGGAAACUUCCUUGCCAUGUGAGCUCUGGCUUAACGACUACAGUGAUUUUUGAAACAAGAAAGGCAAGAAGCUUCUGGAAGGUAGAAGAGGGCUAGGGGUGGGGGGAAGGGAUUGCUGAUUUCACUUCCUGGGUCCUGAGGCAUCUAUUUGGCCCCCUACCCUAGCCUACGGUGGUGCACAGGGGCUCCUAAUCUGUCGCAGGGGCACUCCAUGUCACCAAGUCCCAGAAUCCUAGAGUGGACAAUGUACCCUGGAUCCAAAAGCCUUCAUUAAAGGCACCCAGUUAUCUGCAGCCAGCUUACCUUGGGGAUAAAUUGGUUCCCUGCAACUCCUAGAGAUACCUCUGCCUCUGGAGGAAGCAGCAAGGAGCAGGCUGGGCACACAGGCCAUGGAACAUGCAGGUUGACCACAGCAAGCCCCAGAGAUGCCUGGCAGGCCCCUAGAGCCCAGAGCUGGCCAAUGGGGAUACUCAUUGGAGGGCAUAUACAGGGUCUUCAGUGCCCCCCCCCCCCACUGCCCCAUCCAGUUUCAUGUUCUUAUCCUCAGGGACUUGCAGCCCUUUGUCCAGGCUCCUGAUCCUAUGCCAAGAGCCCCCUGUUGACAUGCAGAGCACCAGGUAGGGGGCAUCAGGUUUGAUGUGACUUGCAUGUUGUGCUGGGGUUGUGGCUUUGGCUGGAUCUCCCAUGCUCUGAGAAGCAGGUAAAAUCUACGAGCUCCCUUUAGGAACCUGCACAAAUCCCAAAGGUUGCAUCCCUCCUUGGAGCGUGGGAACUGACAACACCCAAGGUAGUGUAUGGGUGCUGAGUAAAUGACAGCCUAGCUUGCAAAUGAACCCACAACCUCCCUGAGAGGCCUGAGGGCCUUGGGUCUUAUAUAUGCCAAGCAGGUCUUGAUUCCAAGGCCUUCCCAGGGGAACAAGUUCCAGGGAUGUGUGUCUUAGGCCCAUUCACCUGGAGACAGAUCUGAAUCUUUUCACCCACUCUCCAUAAAGCACAGUGUUUUCAAGGACAGGAGCAUUUUGUAAUGAAAGUUUUUGAAAAAGCAACUUUCCACUUACAAAAAUCAAAUAGGCCACAACCAAAUAAGGCAGCAUGUAUCCCGUCCCAUAUGGGACAGUCUUCUACCUGGUCCUUCUCUCUGAUGGGUAAAGGAACUCUGCCUUUCUCUCUAGCUGGCCUGCAUCCCACUCUGCCACAGUGCUGGCUCAAGCCCCCCUUGGUUUGAUUAAGUUUUUCUUUGUCAGACUAAUUAAUUAAAGCUGAUUUGGACAGAUUCCAUUUUACCCACCCUGUCCUGCCCCUGGGGAUCUUGGACCUCCUUGUCUCCGCUAUGCCCAGGGAAGUCCCCACUGUGUACUUCUCUGUGGCACUCACUAAUUUGGCACCAAAGGGACAUUGAUGUCUCCAGUUGGCACAGUCUCGUGCUUCUUCCCAUCAAGGUACAGGGCAAGAGCCAUGUGUCCCAGCCAUUGAGGAUGUCCAAGGCAAAGAGCCUCCCAGGGAGGGUGGAGAGUACCCAUGCCAGCAGCACAGCAUCAGCUUAGGGAGAUGAGGUAUGUGGGGCCCCAAGAUCAUUCCAAGGGGAAGCUGGUCACAUAUUCCAGAUUGUGGUAUGAAGCAGGCCAUGGAGUGGGAUCAAUGUGGCCCAGAUCAUAUCUGAGGUUGGCAGGAUCCCAGUCUCAUGGAUGGUCCCUUGAAGCCUCUGCAGUUUAAUUGGCCUAGACUAGCUGUUUGACCUCAAACAGCUUUACUGCUUGUUUUUCUGACCUCUACCAUGGAGUUGAUGUGAGAUGAAAUGAGAGGAUGAGACAUGUCCAGAAAGACAAAGGCCAUGGCGGUGGGAGAAGGGUCAAAGAAACUGGCAGAGCACAUGGCAGCCACAGCCCUUUUUCUGAGUAUGAAGAGGAGUUGGGCCGUGUCUAAGCUGGAGCUGCACAGCAGAGGGCAGUGGCUGCAGGACUGUGUCAUUUGUUGACGCUGACAACGUGAUCUGGGAUGGUGAGAAGGGUGAUCUGGGGACUAUCACUCCAACUUCCUGGGCCAGAGGGCCCCAUUUUUUUAAAAGGUGGGGCCAAGGGCCCUUCCAUACAUGGAACCUAUGGGGAGAAAGAACUCUGAGGCCCUACUAACCCACAUUGCCAUCCUCCUCCCACUGGGCAUGGUUUUAUACCAGCCAGCCCAUGUCCUCUCCAUCUGCCAAAUUCUCCCUUUUCCCUUAGUCCUGUCUGGUCCCCUAAAGUUCUCCUUCCCCCUGCCUCAGUGCUCAGACCCCUCAGUAGAAUGUGUAGGAGACCAAACUGACAGCUGCAGAGAGCAUGACAACCUGACUGGGGCAGAGGUGGGAGUGAGGGGAUAUUGUCUUCAAAGUUGUGGGGACAAAUAGCUUCAAAUCUGAAAUUGCCUGAAACAAGUGCCCAGAGGGACAGGUGCAAGAUGUUGGGGAAAGGAUGAAGACUCAUCUGGGUCACAUGGUUCUAGAGCACCAGGCUCCCCAAAAUGCUUACAGCUUCCCGAGGCAUGCCACACCCAAAUCUCAGGUGGUGGGGUCUUGGCAUUUCCUGCAAGCCCUUCUCAGUCUGGUGAUUUGCCUCCUCACUGAAAUCAGAGACCCCAAGGGUGGAUGGCUUCCAACAUUAUUCCCUCAUCUCAAACCAGAGAACACACUGUGCUCAUUGUAUCCACUGAUGUUGAAUUGCCAGUGCCUUUCCCCGAAUCUCAUGAAAUAUUGCCCCCAUCUAGACAUUUACAAGUAAAGGGAUGGGAUGUUCUGGCCAGAGAGGUCAGGGACUAUUUCAUGGUAGGUCCUAGAGAAGUCAUCACAUAGCUAUAACAUUCCCCUUUCAAUCUGGUUUAAAUAAUUUAUACAUGAAAUAAAA
This is a long non-coding RNA of Talpa occidentalis (Iberian mole), 7202 nucleotides long. RefSeq lists it as uncharacterized. Lineage: Eukaryota; Metazoa; Chordata; Mammalia; Eulipotyphla; Talpidae. The transcript has 6 exons. The record is from RefSeq and is a predicted model, not a curated record.